RNAcentral lists this transfer RNA (45 nucleotides) under Pabstiella mirabilis. RNAcentral's name for it is "partial tRNA-His". Lineage: Eukaryota; Viridiplantae; Streptophyta; Magnoliopsida; Asparagales; Orchidaceae. The record is from RNAcentral.
GCGGAUGUAGCCAAGUGGAUCAAGGCAGUGGAUUGUGAAUCACCU